GUCCUCCGGUUUGUCUUCAGAUCGUAUAAAUCUUUCGCCUUUUACUAAAGAUUUCCAUGGGGAGGAACGCGUACGAGUCUUACGAAAAUUUUUGUGGCACCAUUACGGUGGAGCC
Molecule: small nuclear RNA, 115 nt
Organism: Passer montanus (Eurasian tree sparrow)
Lineage: Eukaryota; Metazoa; Chordata; Aves; Passeriformes; Passeridae
Product: U5 spliceosomal RNA
Exons: 1
Source: RefSeq, a predicted model, not a curated record